GGCGUAGCUCAGCUGGUAGAGUAGUGGUCUCCAAAACCAUUGGUCGUGGGUUCGAACCCUACCGCC
RNAcentral lists this transfer RNA (66 nucleotides) under uncultured Brumimicrobium sp. It matches the Rfam family "tRNA". From Rfam's summary of the family: Transfer RNA (tRNA) molecules are approximately 80 nucleotides in length. The record is from RNAcentral. Lineage: Bacteria; Pseudomonadati; Bacteroidota; Flavobacteriia; Flavobacteriales; Crocinitomicaceae.